UUGGAAUGAAGGCAGGAUUUGGGUUUGGGCUGGGAUGGGUUGAGUUGGGUUAAGUCAUCAGUGUUUGGAUUCCUGAUGCAUUCCUUGGUGGUGUGAAUGCCUCCCAUAUUGGAUAAUGCCUCCACGAAGGUGCCAUCCUCUUGACAAGUUGGAAAGUGUUCUAAGGAAGGAUGAAAGGGAACGUCCCCCAGUCAGUGAGGAGCCUGCAGCACUCGUCAGAGUGAGGGGGCUUUAUUGAGAAAGAGGAAAACACGGAUGGGGAGAACAAUGGCACGAAUAAAAGAGUUUAAAUUUA
This is a long non-coding RNA of Coturnix japonica (Japanese quail), 295 nucleotides long. RefSeq lists it as uncharacterized. The record is from RefSeq and is a predicted model, not a curated record. Lineage: Eukaryota; Metazoa; Chordata; Aves; Galliformes; Phasianidae.